CGUAGGGUGCGAGCGUUAAUCGGAAUUACUGGGCGUAAAGCGUGCGCAGGCGGUUCGUUAAGUUCGUUGUGAAAGCCCCGGGCUCAACCUGGGAAUGGCAAUGGAAACUGGCGGGCUUGAAUGCGGCAGAGGGGGGUGGAAGUUCCGCGUGUAGCAGUGAAAUGCGUAGAGAUGCGGAGGAACACCGAUGGCGAAGGCAGCCCCCUCGGGCCGGACAUUGACGCUCAGGCACGAAAGACGUGGGGAGGCAAACAGGAUUAGAUACCCUCGGUAGUCCACGCCCUAAACGAUGCUCACUAGGUGUUGGGGAAGCGAUUCCUUGGUACCGUAGCUAACGCGUGAAGUGAGCCGCCUGGGGAGUACGGCCGCAAGGUUA
This 376-nucleotide ribosomal RNA is filed under the name uncultured organism. Its description in RNAcentral is "bacterial SSU rRNA". It matches the Rfam family "Bacterial small subunit ribosomal RNA", at positions 526 to 896 of the family's 1533-position model. The record is from RNAcentral.